RNAcentral lists this long non-coding RNA (2285 nucleotides) under Monodelphis domestica (gray short-tailed opossum). RNAcentral describes it as "lncRNA (ENSMODG00000031863.2)". The record is from RNAcentral. Lineage: Eukaryota; Metazoa; Chordata; Mammalia; Didelphimorphia; Didelphidae.
CUGCUACUUCAUCUACACCCUAUAAAGAGAAGAUGUAAAUACAGAGUGGAAAUGGAACAUGGCAAGAGACAUGAUUGGCAGACAGGGAGUCAGAAUGUUGGAGAGUGGCUUCUGGGAAGGGACCAACUGUCAAAGGAGGUUCGGUUCUGAACCUUGGGGGAGAGGGGGGUGUGAACAGCUUUUCUGAGUUCUGGAGAAUGAAUCUCAUCAGUUUUCCCAGGAGUGUCUCCAAUUGAUUUCAAUGCCCUUGCUGUCUAUAAACAGUUCUGGUUUCCAAGUUUUCAGGACUUGACUGUCAAGAGUGUGACUGACAAGACAUUUCAGCUUAACUCAAGAGGGAUUUGUUCCCUGGAAGGCAGGCUGUGUGUCAGUCCUGAAGAUAAAGCAGCUCCCUCUGUAGCAACCUCUAAGACUCAAGCCUCUAUUAGCCAUUAGUUUAAGAUAGUAUAGAAAGAAGAGAAAUGGAAGAAUUGAUUUCCAGACUGGUCCUGGCUGGUUGCCAAAGUCGGGGGAACUCAAGUCCAGUCUGGACAUUCAGCACCCAGUCCUUAGCAGAAAUUGAUCCUCUACAACCAGCAGAGGUGCCAAGUGUUACCAGGGCCAGAGAAUUGCAAGGGGGAACCUCAGCAUAAUUCAGUGCUUUUCCAGCUUCUCUCCAGCCAGGAAACAGGGAAAAGUGACAGAGAAAUAAAUACAGACAUCAGGGACACUUCUAAGAACCAUCAGAUAAGGGAAGUCUCAAAGAUUUGGAGGAUAAGACACAGGGAUUCAAGAAUUAGAACACUGACUGAGUUUUGCAGCCUGUGCAAACACCAAUACCCUGAGGAACAAGAUAUGGUCUUCAUGAGUGGCCUUUGGGACCCCAGCCAGUGGAAGAAUGUUUCUGGCAAUCAUGCCAUAUCUGGAUAUUAAUUUUUUGGUGCCAGUGCCAUGUAGGAACUGAUUUAAAUCUUGAGUCUAUUCCCUGAGAGGAGGUGAUAUAGGGGAGAGCAUGCCCCAGCUGUGUUGAAGAGAGGAUACAGUGUUUGUACAUUUUUUAUAUGAGGAUACAAUUUUAAUAAUCAUCUUCUGACAUUUUGCAAACCAUGUUCUCUACCCCCCCCCAAAGACAGCAGGUAAAUUGAUACAGGUUUUACAUGUUUUAUCAUGUAAUACAUACUUCCAUGUUCAUCACAUAAAACAAUACAUCACUCACACUAAAGAAAAAUUCAUGAAAGAAAUGAAGUGAAGAAGAGCAUGCUUUAAUUUGCAUUUAGACUCUGUCUUUUUUGCCUUUUUUGGCAUGAGUCCCUUAGAGUUGUUCUGGACCCUUCUAUUGCUGAUAAUAGUUAUGUUUACAUGUUGGUUCUUGUGUCUUUGAAGUAAAUAUCCCACUCUAAAAGUUAAGUGGAAUUGGGAUGCUAGACUAAUAGUGGGGAGAACACAGCCAGUGAAAGGCUGAGCUCAAUGGUAGAGAAAAGACACCUCAUAAACCCUUCAGCCACCCUGAGACCCUGAGGGGAAAUGUUGUCUGUCUGGCUCUGGGAGAAAAAGCCAGAAUAUAUACACUAUACUUGUAUCCUCAUAGCCUAGCACAGUGCUUAACAGAUAGUGGAUGUUUAAUAAGUGCUUAUCGAGUUGAAUUCCACUCUUUAAAUGUCCCAGGUAAUUCCACCUCUCUCAGCCAGCACCACUAUGGAAUCGCUUACAAUACAUUUUACCUGAUUACACAUCUCCCUGAGGCUUUUCUAAGUACAUUAGUACUAUCAUGUGUCUGUUGACAGAAAGAAGAAUGGGAUCUUCACAUCACAGACAGGUGAAAGAGACCUUGGAAGUCAUCGAGUUCAAUUUCCUCAUUUUACAGAUGUAGAAACUGAGGCCCCAAAAGUUUGAGUGACUUGCCAAAGGUCACAAGACUAAUAUAUGGCAGAGUUUGUAUUUGAACUUGGGUCAUCUGGCUCCCUACCAUCUACCAUCAACUCUUCACUGACUACUUUGCCACCCUGGAAAAACUUGUACCUUGGAGUCUCAUCCUGAUUGGUUAGUACCUCUCCUCAACUACCAUUUCAGGAAAACCCCAGCUACCAUUCCUCAUUUCAAUAUUUAUUCUGGUAACUUUGGGGACCAAAGUGCUCUUCCUUGCUUACCACUCUCCUAUGUAUAUUGUGUUAUAUCCCCUUUAGAACAUAAGCUCCAUGAGGGAAAGGACUUCCUUUGCUUCUGUAUUUUUUAUUUGUAUUCCUUAGCCCUUACCAUAGUACUUGGUACACUGUGAGCAUUUAAUAAAUGUUUUGUUUCUUUAUUCA